RNAcentral lists this ribosomal RNA (510 nucleotides) under uncultured bacterium. Its description in RNAcentral is "partial 16S ribosomal RNA". It matches the Rfam family "Bacterial small subunit ribosomal RNA", at positions 28 to 507 of the family's 1533-position model. The record is from RNAcentral.
GACGAACGCUGGCGGCGUGCUUAACACAUGCAAGUCGAACGAAGAGCGAUGGAAGCUUGCUUCUAUCAAUCUUAGUGGCGAACGGGUGAGUAACGCGUAAUCAACCUGCCCUUCAGAGGGGGACAACAGUUGGAAACGACUGCUAAUACCGCAUACGAUCUAAUCUCGGCAUCGAGGAUAGAUGAAAGGUGGCCUCUACAUGUAAGCUAUCACUGAAGGAGGGGAUUGCGUCUGAUUAGCUAGUUGGAGGGGUAACGGCCCACCAAGGCGAUGAUCAGUAGGCGGGCUGGGAGGAUGAACGGGCAAAAUGGGACUGAGACACGGCCCAGAAUCCUAAGGGAGGCAGCAGGGGGGAAACUUCCGAAAUAGACGAAAGUCUGACGGAGCAACGCCGCGUGGGCGAUGACGGCCUUCGGGUUGGAAAGCUCGGUUAAUCGGGACGAAAGGCCUUCUUGCGAAUAGUGAGAAGGAUUGACGGUACCGGAAUAGAAAGCCACGGCUAACUACGUG